Long non-coding RNA from Leptinotarsa decemlineata (Colorado potato beetle), 266 nucleotides. NCBI's taxonomy places the organism in Eukaryota, Metazoa, Arthropoda, Insecta, Coleoptera, Chrysomelidae. The record is from RefSeq and is a predicted model, not a curated record.
AUAUAUUGAGGUGCAAUUUAGAAUAAUUAUUGUAUUUUUUCUGUUCUCGUUCCACAACUGAUUCAAGGCCUUUAGAAAUGUGGUUUCUGUUAUUAUUAUCGGCAUUGUUUGUUUCUGCCAAUGGUGCAAAUCCUACGACUGUAUCCGUCUACUAUGAAACCCUCUGCCCAGCUUGUGUGUAUUUUUUCAAAAAUCAGCUCGGUCCAGCUUACUAUCAAAUCGGAGAUAAGAUAAAAGUGGACCUGUUACCUUAUGGAAAUAGUAGA